This is an unclassified non-coding RNA of Otolemur garnettii (small-eared galago), 103 nucleotides long. It matches the Rfam family "Y RNA". Rfam says of the family: Y RNAs are components of the Ro ribonucleoprotein particle (Ro RNP), in association with Ro60 and La proteins. The Y RNAs and Ro60 and La proteins are well conserved, but the function of the Ro RNP is not known. The record is from Ensembl. Lineage: Eukaryota; Metazoa; Chordata; Mammalia; Primates; Galagidae.
GCCUGGUCUUGAGUGCAGUGGUGUUUACAAGUAAUUGAUCACAAUCAGUUACAGAUUCCUUUGUUCCUCCUCCACUCCCACUGCUUCCCUCAACUAGCCCAAA